CACGAACGCUGGCGGCAUGCCUAACACAUGCAAGUCGAACGAGACCUUCGGGUCUAGUGGCGCACGGGUGCGUAACGCGUGGGAACCUGCCCUUAGGUUCGGAAUAACUCCCCGAAAGGGGUGCUAAUACCGGAUAAUGUCUUCGGACCAAAGAUUUAUCGCCUUUGGAUGGGCCCGCGUUGGAUUAGGUAGUUGGUAGGGUAAAAGCCUACCAAGGCGACGAUCCAUAGCUGGUCUGAGAGGAUGAUCAGCCACACUGGGACUGAGACACGGCCCAGACUCCUACGGGAGGCAGCAGUGGGGAAUAUUGGACAAUGGGCGAAAGCCUGAUCCAGCAAUGCCGCGUGAGUGAUGAAGGCCUUAGGGUUGUAAAGCUCUUUUACCCGGGAUGAUAAUGACAGUACCGGGAGAAUAAGCUCCGGCUAACUCCGUG
This 433-nucleotide ribosomal RNA is filed under the name uncultured bacterium. Its description in RNAcentral is "partial 16S ribosomal RNA". It matches the Rfam family "Bacterial small subunit ribosomal RNA", at positions 29 to 507 of the family's 1533-position model. The record is from RNAcentral.